RNAcentral lists this transfer RNA (84 nucleotides) under Frigidibacter sp. RNAcentral's name for it is "tRNA-Leu". It matches the Rfam family "tRNA". From Rfam's summary of the family: Transfer RNA (tRNA) molecules are approximately 80 nucleotides in length. Their secondary structure includes four short double-helical elements and three loops (D, anti-codon, and T loops). The record is from RNAcentral. Lineage: Bacteria; Pseudomonadati; Pseudomonadota; Alphaproteobacteria; Rhodobacterales; Paracoccaceae.
GCCCGCGUGGUGGAAUGGUAGACACAGGGGACUUAAAAUCCCUCGGCCCUGGCCUUGCCGGUUCGAGUCCGGCCGCGGGCACCA